RNAcentral lists this ribosomal RNA (262 nucleotides) under uncultured bacterium. RNAcentral describes it as "partial 16S ribosomal RNA". It matches the Rfam family "Bacterial small subunit ribosomal RNA", at positions 793 to 1055 of the family's 1533-position model. The record is from RNAcentral.
GUCCACGCUGUAAACGAUGGGUGCUAGGUGUGGGCGGUGUCGACUCCGUCCGUGCCGAAGCUAACGCAUUAAGCACCCCGCCUGGGGAGUACGGCCGCAAGGCUAAAACUCAAAGGAAUUGACGGGGCCCGCACAAGCAGCGGAGCAUGUUGUUUAAUUCGACGCGACGCGAAGAACCUUACCAGGGCUUGACAUGCACGGGAAUGUCGUAGAAAUACGGCAGCCCUUCGGGGCUCGUGCACAGGUGGUGCAUGGCUGUCGU